This 663-nucleotide ribosomal RNA is filed under the name Triticum aestivum (bread wheat). RNAcentral's name for it is "partial small subunit ribosomal RNA". The record is from RNAcentral. Lineage: Eukaryota; Viridiplantae; Streptophyta; Magnoliopsida; Poales; Poaceae.
AUGGAGACUGCCAGCUCCCUCGCGUUCAAGAGAAGAACCUACGGCCUCUGUUUUUGCUGCUUGGCGCCGGAGCAUCUCGUCGCUGAUUGUCGCGGUCCUGUCAGAUGCCUGGCAUGUGGCCUCCCAGGCCAUCGUGAACGUGGUUGUCCCUCGCGCCAGCCAAUAGUGGAAGGUCGCCGCCUCCGUCCUCGCUCGCCUACGGCUUCACCGUGUCAUUCGAGGGACCUGCCGGGCUGCCAGGCUCCUCGCCACUUCAGCAGCUCGACUCAUGGAUCUCCACAUCCGCAUCGACGCACCUGGGCCUCGGUUGUUGCCCCUCCGGCGGUGGAGAAUCCCAGCGAUUCUGUUGUUGCUGAUUUGGGAUUGCUUGAACCUCUCCUUGCUGCUCAGAUGGAAGUGUUGCGCUCCGAGAUGCAGGCCUUGACCGUCUCACGUUUGGAGGAGGUGGUCCGACCCCUUCAUGACAUGAUGACUGCUUUGGAGGGGUGGACGACUCUACUUUGGGAUACUUGGAGCGAAUGGAGGUUGUUGUUGGCCAGCUGGGCUACUCGCCGGCCUCGCCACAGUCGUCUGAGAUGCAUGUUGCAGGUUCUGUUGGGAAUGUUGCUGGUGUUGAGGAUUUUAUCGAGAGUGAUGUGGCUAGCUGCUCGUCUGAGGUCCUAG